This 1399-nucleotide long non-coding RNA is filed under the name Homo sapiens (human). RNAcentral describes it as "HSALNT0101845". The record is from RNAcentral. Lineage: Eukaryota; Metazoa; Chordata; Mammalia; Primates; Hominidae.
AAAUGCACUCUGGCAUUCACACAGGCACACACUCUGAUGGUUCCCACUUGAAAUUGCUCAUCAAGUGCAAAUAGCUCCCAGCCUGGAUGGCUGAGCUGCUCUCCAGCCUCCUCUCUCUGGAGUAAGAAGAUUUCAGCUUGUGACCUGCCCUCGGGACUUGUGGGUGUACAAAGCCUGUGACCCAGGAAACAAAGUCAACGGCUCACUUUGUCCCCACCCCACCCUACCCCGUCUCCCUCCUACUAAAUGCUGAAUCUCACGAGAGAAGAAAACCAGCCACAUAAAGGAUUUGAAAGCUCAACUUGCUUUCCCACUCUGUUAUCCCUGGAGUUGGCUUGGAUUCACCCUGAAGCCUUCCCCCUCCCGGGGAAAGUUGCUUCACGUUGCAGCUCAGCAGGUUUGUCCAGCUACAUAGGCUCCAGAAAACAAGAAGCAAGACUGGAAAGCUGGGGAUGAUUGUACGCCCUCGCCUGAAUCUUACGUGGUUCCUCCUUCUUCCACCUGGCCAGUGCAGAGCCGUGGGUGCCACGUGGCCACUUCUGGAUUGGGUUCCCCUUGGCCUGCCACCCUGUCCUUCUGCUUUCCCACUUUGCCAGCCAGAGUCAAUUUGAGGACGCCAAGUUCUCCUCUCCAUACAGAGCUCCUGGUCUCCUUGUAACUUGUAACUCCUGGGCACAGUUACAAGUGCUGAAUUCUUGCGAGGAUGAACUCAAGAUACAAAAUAUGCUUGGCAACUCACCCCUGAGUGGCCACAGGCACACGCAGGAGUCGAACCCACCCACCUCUGCUGACAGUCAUGGGUCAAGCUCAAAGUCCUGGCUGCUUCUCUGCUCAAGAUCUGUGCCCGCAGAGAGAGCCUGCUCCAGCCUCUUUGCUACAGCCUUGAGUCUUCUGCUGUAAGUUUUCAUUCUUUACCUUUUUUUUUUUUAAUGAAAAACUUAUGGUUAAUUAUUGUAUUGCAUUUGGGUUUGUGUGUGCAUGCAUAUGAAUGUGUAUCAUGUUCUCCAGGGGUUUCCUGGAAAACCCUUUAAAGCCUCUGUCUAUCUCAGACAGGACAAGAGGAAGAGGAGGGCUCGGACGCUGUGGCACAGAGGGCUGGUUUCCUCCCAAUGUACAUUUCCCUUGCUUCCAUGUCAUACAAGUGUUUAUCUGUGCUCGUGGCUGCCCUGAAUAAGAACUGUAUUUCCAGCUUUGUGGAAGCCAGGUGUGGUCAUGUGACUAAGUUGUAGCCAAUAGCCUGUGGGGAGUAGUGAGGUGUGCAACAACUGGCCAGAGCUGUUAAAGGGAAACGCUGUGUUCUUCCUUCUGUGUUCCCCCUUCCUUGGCUGGAAUUGCCUGUGGCAGUGCUCUACUUUUCCUUUUUCUUUUCCUUUUGGUUUUUGUCUCACUCUGUUGCCCA